This 468-nucleotide ribosomal RNA is filed under the name uncultured bacterium. RNAcentral's name for it is "bacterial SSU rRNA". It matches the Rfam family "Bacterial small subunit ribosomal RNA", at positions 774 to 1232 of the family's 1533-position model. The record is from RNAcentral.
AGUCAAUAGAUACCCUGGUAGUCCAUGCCGUAAACGAUGAUUGCUAGGUGUGGGGGGGUCUGACCCCUUCCGUGCCGGAGUUAAACACAAUAAGCAAUCCACCUGGGGAGUACGGCCGCAAGGUUGAAACUCAAAGGAAUUGACGGGGGGCCCGCACAAGCAGUGGAGUAUGUGGUUUAAAUUCGAAGCAACGCGAAGAACCUUACCAGGUCUUGACAUCCACCGAAUCCUGUAGAGAUACGGGGAGUGCCCUUCGGGGAACGGUGAGACAGGUGGUGCAUGGUUGUCGUCAGCUCGUGUCGUGAGAUGUUGGGUUAAGUCCCGCAACGAGCGCAACCCUUGUGAAUAGUUGCUACGAAACGAGCACUCUAUUCAGACCGCCGUUGACAAAACGGAGGAAGGUGGGGUAGUGACGUCAAACUACAUCAUGCCCCGUUACUGACCUGGGCGUACACACGUACUACAACU